GCUCCUAUUACGGUCACCGACUUCAGGUACCCCAGACUUCCAUGGCUUGACGGGCGGUGUGUACAAGGCCCGGGAACGUAUUCACCGCGCCAUGGCUGAUGCGCGAUUACUAGCGAUUCCAGCUUCAUAGAGUCGAGUUGCAGACUCCAAUCCGAACUGAGACCGGCUUUCGAGAUUCGCAUCCUGUCACCAGGUAGCUGCCCUCUGUACCGGCCAUUGUAUUACGUGUGUGGCCCAAGACGUAAGGGCCGUGAUGAUUUGACGUCAUCCCCACCUUCCUCUCUACUUGCGUAGGCAGUCCCAACAGAGUCCCCAACUGAAUGAUGGCAACUGUUGGCAGGGGUUGCGCUCGUUGCAGGACUUAACCUAACACCUCACGGCACGAGCUGACGACAACCAUGCAGCACCUUGAAAAUUGCCCGAAGGAGGAUCUAUUUCUAAAUCUGUCAAUUCCCAUUUAAGUCUUGGUAAGGUUCCUCGCGUAUCAUCGAAUUAAACCACAUAAUCCACCGCUUGUGCGGGCCCCCGUCAAUUCCUUUGAGUUUCAUCCUUGCGGACGUACUCCCCAGGUGGCUAACUUAUCACUUUCGCUUGGUCUCUGAACCCGAAGAUCCAAAAACGAGUUAGCAUCGUUUACGGCGUGGACUACCAGGGUAUCUAAUCCUGUUCGCUCCCCACGCUUUCGUCCAUCAGCGUCAGUUAAAUCUUAGUGACCUGCCUUCGCAAUCGGUGUUCUAAGUAAUAUCUAUGCAUUUCACCGCUACACUACUUAUUCCAGCCACUUCAAAUUUACUCAAGGCCUGCAGUAUCAAUGGCAGUUUCAUAGUUAAGCUAUGAGAUUUCACCACUGACUUACAGGCCCGCCUACGGACCCUUUAAACCCAAUAAAUCCGGAUAACGCUCGCAUCCUCCGUAUUACCGCGGCUGCUGGCACGGAGUUAGCCGAUGCUUAUUCGUACAGUACAUGCAAUACAUUACACGUAAUGUCUUUUAUUCCUGUACAAAAGAAGUUUACAACCCGUAGGGCAGUCUUCCUUCACGCGAUUUGGCUGGUUCAGACUCUCGUCCAUUGACCAAUAUUCCUCACUGCUGCCUCCCGUAGGAGUCUGGGCCGUGUCUCAGUCCCAGUGUGGCUGAUCAUCCUCUCAGACCAGCUAUGGAUCGUCGCCUUGGUAGGCCAUUACCCCACCAACUAGCUAAUCCAACGCGGGCUCAUCCAUCACCGAUAAAUCUUUCUCCCGAAGGACGUAUACGGUAUUAGCUCCAGUUUCCCGGAGUUGUUCCGUAGUGAUGGGUAGAUUCCCACGCGUUACUCACCCGUCUGCCGCUCCCC
RNAcentral lists this ribosomal RNA (1333 nucleotides) under uncultured bacterium. RNAcentral describes it as "partial 16S ribosomal RNA". The record is from RNAcentral.